UGCUAAGUUCAGCUGCAGUGGAUAGGGCCCAGCGACGUUUAUCAAAAACACAGUUUCGCAAAAUCGUAAGAUGACGUAUAGGGACUGACCCGGUCCGGUCUGGAAGCUAAAAUGAUGGGUUAGCUUCGCGAAGUUCAGAAUGGAGCCCAGUAACGGAGGCCGUAACUAUAACGGUCUUAAGGUAGCGAAAUCCUGGUCGGGUUAGUUCCGACCCGCACGAAAAGCGUAUCGAUCUGGGCACUGUCUCAACGAGAGACUCGGUGAAAUAUCAUUGUCCGUGAAGAUGCGGACUACACGCGACAGGACGGAAAGACCCCAUGGAGCUUUACUGUAGCUUUGAUAUUGAGUGUUUGUACAGCUUGUACAGGAUAGGUAGGAGCCAUAGAAACCGGAACGCUAGUUUCGGUGGAGGCGUUGGUGGGAUACUACCCUCGCUGUAUGACCACUCUAACCCGCACCACUAAUCGUGGUGGGAGACAGUGUCAGGUGGGCAGUUUGACUGGGGCGGUCGCCUCCUAAAAAGUAACGGAGGCGCCCAAAGGUUCCCUCAGAAUGGUUGGAAAUCAUUCGCAGAGUGUAAAGGCACAAGGGAGCUUGACUGCGAGACAGACAGGUCGAGCAGGGACGAAAGUCGGGCUUAGUGAUCCGGUGGUACCGUAUGGAAGGGCCAUCGCUCAACGGAUAAAAGCUACCCUGGGGAUAACAGGCUUAUCUCCCCCAAGAGUCCACAUCGACGGGGAGGUUUGGCACCUCGAUGUCGGCUCAUCGCAUCCUGGGGCUGUAGUCGGUCCCAAGGGUUGGGCUGUUCGCCCAUUAAAGCGGUACGCGAGCUGGGUUCAGAACGUCGUGAGACAGUUCGGUCCCUAUCCGUCGCGGGCGUAGGAAAUUUGAGAGGACCUGUCCUUAGUACGAGAGGACCGGGAUGGACAUACCUCUGGUGUACCAGUUGUGCCGCCAGGCGCAUCGCUGGGUAGCUACGUAUGGAUGUGAUAAACGCUGAAAGCAUCUAAGUGUGAAACACACCUCGAGAUGAGAUUUCCCAUUCCUUUAUGGAAGUAAGACCCCUGAAAGAUGAUCAGGUAGAUAGGUUAGAAGUGGCAGUGCGGUGACGCAUGAAGCGGACUAAUACUAAUCGGUCGAGGACUUAACCAA
Molecule: ribosomal RNA, 1152 nt
Filed under: Lactiplantibacillus plantarum WJL
Lineage: Bacteria; Bacillati; Bacillota; Bacilli; Lactobacillales; Lactobacillaceae
Description: LSU rRNA
Rfam family: Bacterial large subunit ribosomal RNA
Source: RNAcentral